UUACGGCCACAUCACGUUGAAACACUGGCUCCCGUACGGUCGCCGAAGUUAAGCAACGUCGAGCCGGGUCAGUACCUAGAUGGGUAACCGCUUAGGAAUACCAGGUGCUGUAAG
Non-coding RNA from Acanthosepion pharaonis, 114 nucleotides. NCBI's taxonomy places the organism in Eukaryota, Metazoa, Mollusca, Cephalopoda, Sepiida, Sepiidae. The record is from the annotation of a GenBank genome assembly.